RNA transcript from Camellia sinensis, 1670 nucleotides. It is a transcript of the gene named putative glucose-6-phosphate 1-epimerase, with no coding region annotated. The record is from RefSeq and is a predicted model, not a curated record. Lineage: Eukaryota; Viridiplantae; Streptophyta; Magnoliopsida; Ericales; Theaceae.
UCGUGUGGGGGAUUCGGAAAGAAGGGAACUAGUAAGUGGGUUGGUGGGUGGGAAUUAGAGGGGUUUUGUAUGGGAAUUUGAGAUUGAGAGAGAGAGAGAGAGAGAGAGGCACACAGAGAGAAGAGAGAGAGAUGUCUAAUAGCGAAAGGGUUCCUGUUGAGCUCUGUAAGGGCGUCAAUGGCCUCGACAAGGUCGUCCUCCGUGAGGUUCGCGGCAGUUCUGCUGAAGUGUAUCUUUACGGAGGUCAUGUGACAUCUUGGAAGAAUGAUCAUGGAGAGGAGUUGCUUUUUGUCAGUAGUAAGGCUAUUUUCAAGCCUCCGAAGGCAAUUCGUGGUGGUAUUCCUAUAUGCUUUCCUCAAUUUUCAAAUCAUGGCUCUCUUGAGCAACAUGGGUUUGCUAGAAACAGGUUUUGGAGCAUUGAUACUGAUCCACCUCCUUUUCCGACAAAUUCCUCCAGUAAGGCUUUUGUUGAUUUGAUCCUUAAGCCCUCUGAAGAAGAUUUGAAGAUCUGGCCUCACAGUUUUGAGUUUCGGUUGAGGGUGACCUUGGGACCUGGAGGAGAUUUGAUGUUGACAUCGCGCAUCAGAAAUACCAACGUUGAAGGAAAACCUUUUACUUUCACAUUUGCAUAUCAUACCUAUUUCUCUGUUUCAGACAUCAGUGAAGUUCGGGUUGAAGGAUUGGAGACGCUGGAUUAUCUUGACAACUUGAAGAAUAAGGAGCGAUUUACUGAACAAGGGGAUGCAAUAACUUUUGAAUCAGAAGUUGACAAAAUAUACCUCAGCACACCUACGAAGAUUGCAAUUUUGGAUCAUGAGAAGAAACGAACAUUUGUUAUUCGGAAGGAUGGCCUUCCAGAUGCUGUGGUGUGGAAUCCCUGGGAUAAGAAGGCGAAAGCCAUGGCUGAUUUCGGAGAUGACGAAUAUAAGCAUAUGCUGUGCAUGGAGACUGCUGCGGUGGAAAAAGCAAUAACACUCAAGCCUGGUGAGGAGUGGAGAGGAAGGCAGGAACUCUCUGCUGUUCCUUCCAGUUAUUGCAGUGGGCAGCUUGAUCCUCAGAGAGUCCUCCAGAGCAGCUAAAAUGUCCAUUUUCUGGUCUAAAUCCAGUACAGGGUCAAAAACAUAAUUUCUGAAACUUCAAGUGGGGGUUAAUUUGUAAAAAAAAAUUGAAGCAGUUAAACCAAUUUCUAACCAAGAUGUCGAACAGAAAGAAGAGAGGAGACUGAGAGAAGGCUGCUCUUUCCUCUUGCUGUUAUUGAAGGGGGCUCGCUAUGUUCCAAUAUGUGAUCGGAGCACAACAACGAGCAACAUCUUGCUUUGGAUUUUUGUCUUGGUUUUUUUUUUUAUUUUAUUGUAACCCCUCUCCCUUGUCUAAUUUUCUGGUACUUGGGUGGAAGGUGGAUUCAUGAGUAGAGUUGUCAAAUAAUGUUUCUGUUUUUAAUGGUUGGUUGUGUGGUAGCAUUGUCAAAGUGGGGAACAAAUAUAUACACAUAUGCAUAGCAUGGUUUAAAAAAAAUGAAAAAGAAGCUACUGCUGGGAACUUGGGGAUUAUUUCUGUCUAAAAGGAAUGUGGCUCUGAGAGAAGGGCAAGUCUUUUGCAUUAUUUUUUAGAGCAUAGUCUUAAGCUCUGGAAAGCAGACAACAAAUAUAGCUUUAAUGGUUGCAUUUUGA